CCUACGGGCGGCAGCAGUCGGGAAUAUUGCGCAAUGGAGGAAACUCUGACGCAGUGACGCCGCGUGCAGGAAGAAGGUUUUCGGAUUGUAAACUGCUUUAGACAGGGAAGAAGAAAGUGACGGUACCUUAGGAAUAAGCCUCGGCUAACUACGUGCCAGCAGCCGCGGUAAUACGUAGGAGGCGAGCGUUAUCCGGAAUGACUGGGCGUAAAGGGUGCGUAGGUGGUUUGGCAAGUUAGUAGCGUAACUCCAAGGCUCAACCUUGGAACUACUACUAAAACUGUUGGACUUGAGUGCAGGAGGGGCAACCGGAAUUCCUAGUGUAGCGGUGGAAUGCGUAGAUAUUAGGAGGAACACCAGUGGCGAAGGCGGGUUGCUAGACUGUAACUGACACUGAGGCACGAAAGCGUGGGGAGCAAACAGGAUUAGAUACCCCUGUAGUC
Molecule: ribosomal RNA, 443 nt
Filed under: uncultured bacterium
Lineage: Bacteria
Description: partial 16S ribosomal RNA
Rfam family: Bacterial small subunit ribosomal RNA
Source: RNAcentral